RNAcentral lists this long non-coding RNA (254 nucleotides) under Lathyrus oleraceus (garden pea). Its description in RNAcentral is "Pisum sativum (pea) long non-coding RNA (PSAT_LNC016999)". The record is from RNAcentral. Lineage: Eukaryota; Viridiplantae; Streptophyta; Magnoliopsida; Fabales; Fabaceae.
AUCAUAUAUUCUACAUUUGUUCACCAGUUCAGGAAACCGACGAAUCUGUUGAUACCUGAUGUCCUGCUUGAUCUUAGGAUGCAACCCAUUCUCAAACUUGAUACAUUUGGAAACCUCUGCAGUUGCAUCAUUGUAGUGUGGACAGAAUUUCACAAUUUCCUCGAACUUAGCAGCAUAUUCAACAACAGUUAAGUUCCCUUGUUUCAAUUCCAAAAACUCAAUCUCUUUCUUACCAGAUACAUCUUAUGGAAAAU